CAGCAGCCACGGGAAUACGGAGGGGGCUAGCGUUGUUCGGAAUUACUGGGCGUAAAGCGUGCGUAGGUGGUGGUUUAAGUCCGUUGUGAAAGCCCUGGGCUCAACCUGGGAAUUGCAGUGGAUACUGGGUCACUAGAGUGUGGUAGAGGAUAGUGGAAUUUCCGGUGUAGCAGUGAAAUGCGUAGAGAUCGGAAGGAACAUCUGUGGCGAAGGCGACUAUCUGGGCCAACACUGACACUGAGGCACGAAAGCGUGGGGAGCAAACAGGAUUAGAUACCCCUGUAGUCCCUGUCUCUUAUAA
This 301-nucleotide ribosomal RNA is filed under the name uncultured bacterium. Its description in RNAcentral is "partial 16S ribosomal RNA". It matches the Rfam family "Bacterial small subunit ribosomal RNA", at positions 509 to 809 of the family's 1533-position model. The record is from RNAcentral.